RNAcentral lists this ribosomal RNA (344 nucleotides) under uncultured Butyricimonas sp. RNAcentral describes it as "bacterial SSU rRNA". It matches the Rfam family "Bacterial small subunit ribosomal RNA", at positions 355 to 697 of the family's 1533-position model. Lineage: Bacteria; Pseudomonadati; Bacteroidota; Bacteroidia; Bacteroidales; Odoribacteraceae. The record is from RNAcentral.
GGAGGAAUAUUGGUCAAUGGGCGAGAGCCUGAACCAGCCAAGUCGCGUGAGGGAAGAAUGGUCUAUGGCCUGUAAACCUCUUUUGUCAGGGAAGAAUAAGGAUGACGAGUCAUUCGAUGCCAGUACUUGACGAAUAAGCAUCGGCUAACUCCGUGCCAGCAGCCGCGGUAAUACGGGGGAUGCGAGCGUUAUCCGGAUUUAUUGGGUUUAAAGGGCGCGUAGGCGGGACGUCAAGUCAGCGGUAAAAGACUGCAGCUAAACUGUAGCACGCCGUUGAAACUGGCGCCCUGGAGACGAGACGAGGGAGGCGGAACAAGUGAAGUAGCGGUGAAAUGCAUAGAUAU